AAGUCGAGCGGCAAGGUGGAGCAAUCCACCNUAGAGCGGCGGACUGGUGAGUAACGCGUGGGUGACCUACCGAGAGGACGGGGAUAGCCAUUAGAAAUAGUGGGUAAUACCGGAUGUGGUUACGGUACGGAAGUACGGUAAAGAAAGGGGCUUAGGCCCCGCCUUAAGAUGGGCCCGCGUCCCAUUAGCUAGUUGGAGGGGUAACGGCCUGCCAAGGCGAUGAUGGGUAGCCGGCCUGAGAGGGUGAACGGCCACACUGGGACUGAGAUACGGCCCAGACUCCUACGGGAGGCAGCAGCUAAGAAUAUUCCGCAAUGGACGAAAGUCUGACGGAGCGACGCCGCGUGGAUGACGAAGGCCGAAAGGUUGUAAAAUUCUUUUAUUGCCGAAGAAUAAGGCGGGCAGGGAAUGGCCUGCUGAUGACGAUAGGCGAUGAAUAAGCCCCGGCUAAUUACGUGCCAGCAGCCGCGGUAACACGUAAGGGGCGAGCGUUGUUCGGAAUUAUUGGGCGUAAAGGGCGCGUAGGCGGUUAUGUAAGCCCGGCGUGAAAACUAUCGGCUUAACCGGUAAACUGCGUUGGGAACUGUGUAACUAGAGUCAUGGAGGGGUAGUUGGAAUUCCGCGUGUAGGGGUGAAAUCUGUAGAUAUGCGGAAGAACACCGGUGGCGAAGGCGAAC
RNAcentral lists this ribosomal RNA (677 nucleotides) under uncultured spirochete. RNAcentral's name for it is "bacterial SSU rRNA". It matches the Rfam family "Bacterial small subunit ribosomal RNA", at positions 59 to 726 of the family's 1533-position model. The record is from RNAcentral. Lineage: Bacteria; Pseudomonadati; Spirochaetota; Spirochaetia; Spirochaetales.